Molecule: ribosomal RNA, 465 nt
Filed under: Triticum aestivum (bread wheat)
Lineage: Eukaryota; Viridiplantae; Streptophyta; Magnoliopsida; Poales; Poaceae
Description: partial small subunit ribosomal RNA
Source: RNAcentral
AUGCUUGGUCGACGCCCGGGCUCACCCUCACGCUCUACGUGCGCUCUCCACCCAGCGCGCCCCAAAAGCAGCUCCUCUGCUUGUCGAUCUGCGCAACGGCGGAGGCACGGCGGGAGACGGUCAUCGCGUUGCCGUAGUGGUUGCUCUCAACAGCCAAAUCAGGCGCCUCCUCGACGGAGGAGUUGUUGCCGAGGAACACGUCGACGUUGGUCGUCAUCUCGAAAAUACUCGCCCUAUCCAUAUCGAGGAACAGCCGGCCCGUCGGCCCACGCACCACACGGACGACGGGCACUCCUCGACAGAGAGCAAGGGGCAACCCAACGCGGCGUCAAGGAAGAGGAACGAACGCAGAUCGCGGUCGCCACCGAAGUAGGAGGGCUCCACCUACAUCACGACCGCGCCGCCGGCGGCGUCCGUGACGGCCAACCCGUAGCCCCGCGAGGACUUCGAUCUGGUCACCGUUAA